Molecule: long non-coding RNA, 2221 nt
Filed under: Daphnia pulex (common water flea)
Lineage: Eukaryota; Metazoa; Arthropoda; Branchiopoda; Diplostraca; Daphniidae
Description: uncharacterized LOC124188904, transcript variant X2
Source: RNAcentral
CCAACCGAAAAAGAGACAUGAUUGCGCAGAUCUACUCAUGUCUCGAUGAAUCAACCAGCUGUAGCUGACCUGAUGCUGGACGAUGCUUCGCCUCAGCAGCCGUCCCAUCCUGUUUCACCACCAAAAUGAGACGUUAGGAUUUGCACGGGAAAAAAGGCUCUCUCCUCUCGGCGUUUCACGUCAAUUCCCGAUCAGUUCAUAUUUUACUUCUGCAUCGACACAGGAGGGGAGGGACCGCUCUCGAUAAAGGGAAAAAACAUGAAGAAAUCAUUCUCCAUCAUCACAGCCCUUUUUUUCCCCUCAGCGUCGUUUUCAACACCUUGUGCGCUGUUCAGGAGCUAUCACGCUAUUUCCCACACGGCGUUUUUUCUUCGGUAACGUUCGUGCACCUCUGUGCUCCAUUGCGUGCACUAAAGCACUGAGAAAUCUAUUUUUAAAAAUUAUUGAUCUAUAAACAAAAAAAUGAAAACAGCAUUAUAUACAUAUGCUCGAGGUUUAGUCGGGGCUUGUUCUUUUUUCGUGGAGAAAAAGGAAAUAACCGCUGUGUACCUGUACUUUUCAAACGCAUGAAAUCACGAACUAAACCACCGUUUACGAUUUUCUUACAGUUACCGAAGAUCAACCUUUUUGAAAAAAAAAAUGUGUACUUUUUUCCACUUUCAAUUCAAAUACAUUUCCGUCUAUCAGACUGAAAACUUAAAUUUGAGUUCAUAAGUUUCGGGCUCAAGACUGAUUUGAUAGUUCAAAACUGUUCCAUCUUUUUCAGAAAUACUAACGGGGUCUUUAGUGAAGUAAACGGCUUGUUUCGAGUGCACGUCCCAUUGAACGUUUUGGCUGAGCGUGACAGGAGCAGUUGGCCCACCGCUGAUUGUAGUGUUCUCGUCCAGUUGCCAAUCGAUCCACAAGGCUACUCCAUUAAGAGUUCCAGCGACUGGUAAGUUUACCUUACCUUCCACUUGGAGAAUUUCUUGCGUCUUUCCAGAAAGUGUUGUCAAAUCUAGCAUCAUGAGUUGAACAGCUUGACUUAGCGCUCGAGUGGGAUAUUCCCACAGAGGGUGCGGUUCGACCUGAGCAUCGCUAGAGUCGAUUGCGCUCUGCGAUUAAAUUAAUUGUAAUUUUUAGAUUUUCACGUGGAAAUGGGCUAACAUGUUACCUCAAUUAACUUGUCAAAAACUGACAGAUCAAUUUCUUGAGUGGAGCGGACGGGUGCUCGGAUUUUCCAUAAAUCUUUCAUCUCGACAGCCAUGGCGUAUAGAUACGCCUUUCCAGGAAAAAUUCUAGUCACGCCAUCUGCCAAUAAAUGUUUCACGUUGUUUUUCCAGCGCGCGAAAUAAAGGUUGUGCCAAGGCAGCACAGAGCUCUCGAAAACAGGCUCACCCAACACAAGGUUCACCUAAACAUAACCGUAAAUGGAAACGUUAAAGCAAGAAAAAACUAUAACAUAUCCUUUUCAAAAGUAUCCCGAAUUUAAAGGCCUGGUCGUUUAAACGAGCUCAAACUGUUGUAAAAGUAAAAGUAGCACUAUCGCAAGCAGAUUCUUACCUUUAAGUCGAGUUUUCUUUUAUCGAGAUCUCCAUCAAUGACGGUAAUUUGUUCUUGAAGGUCAUUUCUUUUCACCCAGGCCUGCAAUACUCGACGGCAAUGUGGAUUUCUCUCAACGGCAUAGACUUUUUUUGCGCCUAAUUUUGCCACUAUCAGUCCUAAGAGACAGCAAUCACCCAGUGUCAAACAGACAGUAUCGGAGCUAACCACUUUUUCUAAAGCAGUCUGGUACUUCUGAUUGCGUUCACUGUCGUUCAAUUGGCCUAAACGAGGUCGGCUAACAGCAAGGUGAACGGAGCAAUCACAGAAUGGGCGGGGCAAGAUAGCGGAAGAGGAGGCUUCAGUCUGUAAUCCAAACCAAAGGCUGUAUUCGUCGUGGUAACCGCUGAGACGUAGUUGCUCUCCCUCCGAUUUGAUAAUUUUGUCAUUAGGAAAAUAGUAAAUAGCUUGCAUCCAAUGAUCUCUCCACGUUUUUGCACAAUACCUUCUGGAUGGGCCCAAGGAGGAGCACAACUUAAAACUAUUUCGCCUUCUGUGUCCAUGUCCAAUGUCCACCACAUUAAAACGGCGUGAGCUGUCCCACUGGACUUGGCAGUGAAUUCCACUGUUUUUGAAUCAUCAUUAGGAAUAGGUUGUUUGCUGUUCCAAUCGAAACUGUUAAUAAAUAAUAAUCAGAUAA